AAAAAUUGCUACAAUUCAAAUUAGGUGUUAAUUAGGUAAAUUAUACAUUUUCUAUCGACAAUCGCGAAUUAAACGUGUAAUAAAUAAUUUUUAUGUCUAUAUUAUACAGUGUUAAAAUGUAAUAAGUGGUGUGUAGAGGAAAUGUUAGUAUAUUACUCGCGUAUAUAGUAUAUUUAGGACGUAGGUAUAUUGCAAUAACCAUUUAGAUUUUAUAUUAAAAAUUAAAAAUUUUAAUGUGGUUAAAACGAGAUUAUUGCAGAAUGUAAUAUACGUACUUAAUUUUAUAACCUUGCAGAAGUAAUUUGACGAGAGUUUAUUAAAAAUCUAAUAAAAUAUAAACACAAAAAAAAAAAAAAAAAAAUGCAUGGUAUGUGCUCAUUCGUUUAUAAUUAUACCACAUUUUCUGCUGUUUUAAGUGUUUUAAGUAAUAUCAGUUAA
Molecule: non-coding RNA, 438 nt
Organism: Cinara cedri
Lineage: Eukaryota; Metazoa; Arthropoda; Insecta; Hemiptera; Aphididae
Source: the annotation of a GenBank genome assembly